AGAGAGGAGCAGGAGUGAGGACGCCGGUGCUGGGCUUGUUUUUCACUCAUCAGCUGCUUGUUUUUUAUUUAGAGUUGACAACAUUGGACACAACACAUUUCAGUGGAGGCGGCGGGAGAGGAGGUGACGGUGACCGGCAGUGAGGUAACUUAAGGAGCUGGAGUCCCACUAAGAAUAGAAGACAAGGCUGUGGAAAGAGACAGCGUGGAAAGGCUCCUUGUUCCCUGAUCUAGCCAACUAAAGAUAUAAUUUCUUCUUAAGCCUCUGAAUUUACAUGAUGAGUCUCACAGGAGAGAUACCACAUCUGUGCUCUGAGUGUGACAGAAGCUUUACAUGUAAAUCACAUCUUAUCAGACAUCAGAGGAGUCACACAGGAGAGAAACCAUUUGAAUGUUCUGAAUGCAGCAAGUGUUUUUCCCAGAAUGCACAGCUUGUUAUACACCAGAGAGUUCACACAGGAGAGAAACCAUUUGAAUGUUCUGAAUGCAGCAAGUGUUUUUUCCAGAAGUCAGAGCUGGUUAUACAUCAGAGGAGUCACACAGGAGAAAACCCAAUUACAUGUUCUGAAUGCAGCAAAUGUUUUACCAGGAAAUCAUAUCUUGUUAUACAUCAGAUGAUUCACACAGGAGAGAAACCAUUUAAAUGUUCUGAAUGUAGCAAGUGUUUUUCCCAUAAGUCACAUCUUGUUAUACAUCAGAGGAGUCACACAGGAGAGAAACCAUUUACAUGUUCUGAAUGCAGAAAGUGUUUUACUAGUAAGAAAACACUCAGUAAUCACAUGUGGAGUCACUCUGAGGGCCUGAAUGCAGCAUGUGUAUCAUAAGUAAUGUAACUUAUCACAACUGUAUGAAUUCAAUGGAACCAAUAUCUAUUUUCUGAAUGUGACAAGUGUUUUAUAUAAAUCAGUCUUAAUAAAGACAGGAGAGGUCUGACAAGUGGACCUGGAGGUACUUUUCCCCUUGGGAAGGUAUCUGUGUUAGGAACUAGAGCUGCAGUAUAACAAUAGCCAAUGACCGUGGGACUGCCAUUACUGAGCUCUGUAAUAUACAGCUGUUCUGCUCAUGCAGGUGCUGGGACUAGUAGAGAGUUCCAGCAGCUCCUCUCAGUACUGGGAUUCCUUCUCUGACCAGCAGGGUUAUGAGUACUGGGUAUAUCUACAGGAACAAUGUAUGCUGCUCUGUUUCACCAUAUGGGUUAUUGUAUGGGGUGUUAUUUUUAACCACUUUUUAGAUGCCAUUUUGUCCAUGUUUAACUCCAUUUUGUAUAUGUAUGACCUCAUUGCUUUAAAUACUGUACAUACUUUUUAUUAGGAUUAGUGCUUUGCAGACAUAUAGGCACCAGUUAGAAAUAUAGUCUCACGUUAAGUUGAAAGUUUUCUUUCACCUUUGACAUAGUGUGAAAGACAUAGUGAGUGGGAAGUGUAUACAGCUUUUAGGAUGGCUGAUUAUAAUAAAUAUAUGUUCCUGUUAUCAGUAUCUCAGAGGGAAACUGUCUAGUAAGAUGUUUGGGGUAUUGUGUACAUAAGUAGGGGAAAGGGUACAGUUGUCUAGAAUAACAUAAAUUAUGUUAUCCUGAAUGACUACUGCACCCAGCGUCACAGACCCUGAAUGUAAUAUCUGGUAAGACAAUGUUAGCAAAUCCUUGUAGGGUUAUAAAGCCUAGAGACUUACACAAAGCAAGUAGUUCUGAUGGAAGCUAGGUCUGGCUGCAGUGGACCUAGACUUCUACAAACCCCCUCCAGCUUGUAACUUGCGACAAAGUUAUUAGGCGGGACCCUGGAGAAUGACUGAACUACAUUAUUUAAACUACUUAAUCGAUGACCAUCAUCUGGGACAGAUCUUAUAACAUCUGGGAUAAGAGCUGAGUGUUCUAAUUUGUUCUUGUUAUUAUUGUAACUGACUAGAACUUGUUACUUGCAUGUUUUCAUUAUUGUAACUUUGAUAAAUGAUUAUCCUUUUUAAUA
Pseudophryne corroboree (corroboree frog) is the source of this 1963-nucleotide long non-coding RNA. RefSeq lists it as uncharacterized. NCBI's taxonomy places the organism in Eukaryota, Metazoa, Chordata, Amphibia, Anura, Myobatrachidae. The record is from RefSeq and is a predicted model, not a curated record. The transcript is spliced from 2 exons.